GGGAAAUGUUGAAUCACAGCCUGAAUCUCUGAUUGAUCACCUGAGGUGAGCCAUGAGUCAGCCAUGGGAGCACAGGUGAAAGCAAUUCACCUGUGCUGCUGGAAGGGGUGGAGCCUGGCUCCAUCUCUCCUAGACCCAUUUAAGAGCUGACUAGCAGUGGGUAAGGAUCUCUUCUGGAGAUCUACUCUGCUGGAGUUUUGUAAGUGGGCCCAGGAUAUGGAACUGGCCAAGAUUCUGUUUAUGGAAGCGACAUGGAUGAAAUAAACCCUGCUUAGCAUGAUGUUGGGAGGCACUGGAUAUGGUUUCUUGACUCUCUAGCCCAAGCUCCGAUUAGUGCAACCAACAGACUGCACACCCACUGAGAACAGUCAGAGAACACAACAGUGCACUAUGGCUCCUGCUCCCUUCCACAGCCUGACAACAGGGAGACAAGAGCUCUAGCUAGCCUGGCACAACAGCUAUUGGGAAGUUUGGCAUGCUGCUCUGAUGAGCAGACUGUGUGGGAGCAUCUGCCCCUGAAUGCAGAAGAGAAGAAACAAGAGUGAGAGUGAUACAGAAGGGCUCUUGGACAGCCCAAAGAA
Molecule: long non-coding RNA, 581 nt
Organism: Tympanuchus pallidicinctus (lesser prairie-chicken)
Lineage: Eukaryota; Metazoa; Chordata; Aves; Galliformes; Phasianidae
Exons: 2
Source: RefSeq, a predicted model, not a curated record